Molecule: transfer RNA, 71 nt
Filed under: Neomikiella lychnidis
Lineage: Eukaryota; Metazoa; Arthropoda; Insecta; Diptera; Cecidomyiidae
Description: tRNA-Trp
Source: RNAcentral
UAAAAUUUAAGUUAAAUUAAACUAUAAAUCUUCAAAAUUUAAUAUAAAUUAAAUUUGCAAUUUAAUUGUAA